This 120-nucleotide ribosomal RNA is filed under the name uncultured bacterium. RNAcentral describes it as "partial 16S ribosomal RNA". It matches the Rfam family "Bacterial small subunit ribosomal RNA", at positions 215 to 334 of the family's 1533-position model. The record is from RNAcentral.
UCGGUACAAGAUGAGCAUGCGUCCCAUUAGUUAGUUGGUGUGGUAACGGCACACCAAGACGAUGAUGGGUAGGGGUCCUGAGAGGGAGAUCCCCCACACUGGUACUGAGACACGGACCAG